Molecule: long non-coding RNA, 1196 nt
Organism: Cyprinus carpio carpio
Lineage: Eukaryota; Metazoa; Chordata; Actinopteri; Cypriniformes; Cyprinidae
Source: Ensembl
GUCAAAUGAGGUGUCUCCGUUUCCGCUCCUCGGGUUAUAAGUCAGAUCACAUUUUUUUUUCGAAAGCUCGCUUGUUGAAGUCUACUUUCUGUAUCACCAUGCAGUGCUAAAUCAGAACAUAUGCUGCCUCAGAGGAGAAAAAAAUGCUGAAGACUGGACGUACAACAGUAUAUGGGCGCCCCCUAGCGUUAGGAUUAUUUCUGGUCAAACUCGCUCUUUAAGGUGGAAGAGCCAUCUUAAAUGGAAACUACAUCGGUCGCUCGCCUCUCACAUACACCAAAGUAACACGCGCCUAUUUUAAUCUGAUUAAUGCUUUUGAGAUUUCCUUCUAAUUGACAUGGACGUUGCAGAGGUGCACUUGUAGGUCUCUUCCACACAUUUUCUCCACAGUGUUGUUCACGCACGGGAGUAUUGCAGCGUUUCGGUUAUUUUUGGGCAGUUUACUGAAACGGUAAAAAGUGAGCACCGUACCUCAUCUCUGACCAUUCAAAAGCCUGUAUGUGAACAAGACAGCCGAAAGCAAUACCGCAGACGUAAAUUAUAGCAUAGCCUACGAUGCAAAGUGGAUUUUAUCCCAAGAUCAAGGUAGAAUACGACAUUCUGGCAGACUAGCUGUGCAUUGUCUCAGACCUCUGCAGGACUGUGAUGCGGGCAGAGGACACGGCCACUGUGGGAACUGAAGACUACUGAGUGGUGACGUUGACAUCAACACCAAAUGCCUGAUGGGAGGAAAAGCAUCACGCAAAGAUCCCACAAUGACAAAGCAGGGAAGGUAGGCCUUAAUGUAUGCUUUUGACCUACUGGAGCAACUAACCUGUAAUGGAUUCUUUUAUAGGCAAAAGGAUCAUUGGCUCAACUGACAACAAACUGCUUGAAAUCAACGACAUACAUAUUGUAAUUCUGCAAAUAAUGUUAUGAUGUAUGAUUAAAUAAUGCAACUGAACAAGAUGUAGCACUGUAUCUCUCUAGAGAAUGAUGCAAUGAAAAAAAAAAACUUUUCUUGAUGACAAUAGAAGACAUGUUUAAUUAUCAACUGUACAAUAAUUUCUGCCAAAAGCACAAGUAAAUAAACAUGGCUCCUGAAUGCAUGUUGUUUGUUUUUAUUGCAUAUCUAUCUAUCUAUCUAUCUAUCUAUCUAUCUAUCUAUCUAUCUAUCUAUCUAUCUAUCUAUCUAUCUAUCUAUCUAUCUAUCUAUC